UUUGUGCAGGUUCUUCCAAAGAGAAUGCCUAAUUGCUCAUACUUUUUGCAAGGCUUAUGCUCAAACAAAAGUUGUUCAUAUAGACAUGUCAACGUGAACUCCAAUGCAUCUAUUUGUGAAGGAUUUCUUAAGGGUUAUUGUGCUGACAGAAAUGAGUUGAAAAUAAAUCACACUAUAAGCAGUGAGAUACUGAUAAACCCGGGAUAUGUUCUUGCGCUUAACGUCAAAUAUCGAGUUUUUCAUUAUGGAUUGCAAUUCAGUGUCGGGAACUGGAGCUUCGACAAAGCAGGCUGCCGAGAGAUUUUCAUUGGAUCUAUUGCAUUCCGCAUGACGUGUUAUAUGGAUGCGGUGAUUUAAUAUUUUCGUCGCACAUGAUCUUUACUCUUACUUUUGUGUGCACAUAUCAGAAAUAUGGAACCCGAAGGUUACUUCAUUGUUCAUUUCAAAACAUGCUCUCGCCAUCACAUAUUUUGUCGUGUUUAAAUUUUAAUUCUGAUUUAUUGUGACUGGAUGAAUCUAUAGAUCCAUAAAGCAGCUCGCAUGGCUGCUUGCCGUGAUUCAGAAAAACUGACAUUUGUUCCCUUUUGAAUAAUCAUUUCAUCUUUCGGUCCCUGAUUGGCAGGUACACCGUAAAUUUGGUGGUAUUUUUUGUUGACAAGAAAUUGCCAGGUUUGCUCAUCUGUACUACAACCUAUUGAAUGGAAAUUCCGAUGACCCUGCAGAUCGAGAUUGAAGAAGAAACUGAACUAAUAUAUGGUGAUCAAAAUGGCAAUAUUCAUGUGUGGGAUUUCACAGCAAAUUCAUGCAGCUGUGAAUUGCUGUUCUCUGAGUGUUUGAGUGAAUUUUGGAUGAUGAAGCUUGGUUGUUUUGUAAGUUUAAUUUGGUAAUUUUAAUGUGUGGAUUUUUCUGAAUGUGAUUGUGGAUGAACUGAGUUCGUAUUUGUUUUCCAGCUUGGUUUGAAUUUAGAAAGGGUAGUUGCAGGUUCUGGAAUUGUUUGGGAUUUGGGGGCUGAUUCGGAUUAUCAUAAAGGGAUGAUAUGCAGCUGAGUUUCGGCUUACGGUUUAUGCAGCAGAAUUUUCGGUGCAGCUCGAUUUGGUUAACCUCUAUUAUUGUGGAAUUUUUGCACUCUUCUGUGAUAACCAUGUCGUCGAUACAUGUUCAACACGAUAUACCAUUGCGAACUUAUAAUCACAUGACCGGGAGUUCAGACUAUUUUUGAUUCGGAGACGACAUGUUUCGGCAUAAAAAUACUGAUCAAAGAAUUGUCAUCAGAUUCUUCACAACAUGUCCACUCAGCUCUGGCUUCAGUAAUAAUGGGAAUGGCUCCAGUGUUGGGAAAGUUAUAAGUUUCAGAUGCCAGUUUCUGCAGUAAUUUUGACUUCGACAUUAAUACACAGUAUCUGUAUCUCGAAAGUGAAAUCUGUUGUUGGGGCUUAAAAUAUUAUUUUUCUUUUGAGUAUGUAACAAAUACACUGAGCCGAGUUUUGGUUGUAUAUUUUACUGUUCUCAUAUAUGUCACUUGAUUGUGGUGUGUAGGCCAUUGAAAAUCCGAACAACUAGCUACUAAAAUUUGUCUUUUGCAAGUGGGAAGGUCAUGUGUCAUGGUUUGAGAUUGAAAUUUUGUCUUUAUGAUCUGUUGGUUAUCUUUGCUUCAUUAAGCCAUGCUUGCUUUAUGAUGAUUUAGUUUCUAAUGUUGCUUUAUGAUUUGUUGGUUAGCUUUGCUUCAUCAAGUCGAACUUUCUUCCUAUUGUGUGCAUGUAUUUGAUUCCAAUGUGAAAACAUAUGAAUAUGUUUUGUCUGAGAAGGAUACUAAAGGUGUUUUGCCUGGAAAGGAUACAAAGGAACAAAGUUCGGCUAAAACAACUCAAUCGAAGUCAUUUUCUUCUAAAGAUAGUUUUGUGACUUCAACUGGAUCUUACCCUUCUAAUCAUAGGUAUCAGAAUUGCAAGGAUGGUGACGAGGAAGAUGAAGAAAUUGAUGACUGGGUUGAUGAUUCAUUCUCAUCUAGAGGACCCAAAAAGAUUUAUCCAUCAAUACUCAAGCCUGAUGUAACCACACCUGGUGUGAACAUACUUGCUGCCUAUUCACUAUUCUUAAAAAGAUGAGCUUAGAUAGGUUAUUGGUCGUUUGUAUUUCUCUAUUUUAUUUUUGUCAAACUGUAUUUUGUAUUCUUGAUGAUGCUAAAUAUGUUUGGCUUUGCUGGUGAGAACUCUGCCAUCACUGAGUCAGACAUUGAAGAGACCUUUAAGAGGCUUGUGACUCAGCUGAAGAAGACCGCCCUUGAAAUAUUUGAUGCUUUGAAGAGCCAAACUGUUGAUUUGGUCUUAAAUCUUAACUGCUCAUCCUACCCAGGCUGUUCGUAGAUCUUUAUUGCAAAAGCAUGGCAGUUGCAGGGAUUGUUUGACACAGUUGUAUGCAAAAGAUAUUACACCAGAUGAUAAGCAGGAACUUGAUGAGGCUUUGCAAAGAGAGGUGCCUAUCUGUUGAUUUUUUUUAUUCUAUAUGCAUAUAAGAUGCCACCAUUGGAAGCCGCUUGAUUUUAUGUAUGCUACUUUAUAUAUACAGUUAUACUUAAAAUUAUGUAUAAUUGAUUUUAAGUGAUACAAUGUUUUUCGGUCAAAAAAAAAAGUGAUACAAUGUUUUCCUUGGUUAGGCUAAGAUAAUUGGAGUUAUCUGUGUUUAUAGUACCUAUUAACAUGGGUAGCAUUGAAUAAAUACCGUGAUGCUACACUCACCGAAUGAAGGUAUACAGUGGAAUUUAUGUGAAUAUACAAAAUUAAAAUCUUAUGACUUUUCCGUGAUCAUUUGGCACAUCAGCAAGCCUGUUGAAUUUUAUCUAAACUUUAUAUAUUUAUAUAUAUCAAACUUAAAACUUUUUUUAUUAUUUCUUUUAAUCUCCCAAC
This is an RNA transcript of Vicia villosa (hairy vetch), 2903 nucleotides long. It is a transcript of the gene named zinc finger CCCH domain-containing protein 7-like, with no coding region annotated. The transcript has 9 exons. NCBI's taxonomy places the organism in Eukaryota, Viridiplantae, Streptophyta, Magnoliopsida, Fabales, Fabaceae. The record is from RefSeq and is a predicted model, not a curated record.